Molecule: ribosomal RNA, 301 nt
Filed under: uncultured bacterium
Lineage: Bacteria
Description: partial 16S ribosomal RNA
Rfam family: Bacterial small subunit ribosomal RNA
Source: RNAcentral
CAGUAGCCGCGGUAAUACAGAGGGUGCGAGCGUUAAUCGGAUUUACUGGGCGUAAAGCGUGCGUAGGCGGCUUCUUAAGUCGGAUGUGAAAUCCCUGAGCUUAACUUAGGAAUUGCAUUCGAUACUGGGAAGCUAGAGUAUGGGAGAGGAUGGUAGAAUUCCAGGUGUAGCGGUGAAAUGCGUAGAGAUCUGGAGGAAUACCGAUGGCGAAGGCAGCCAUCUGGCCUAAUACUGACGCUGAGGUACGAAAGCGUGGGGAGCAAACAGGAUUAGAUACCCCAGUAGUCCCUGUCUCUUAUAC